UUUUAUAUAGUUUAAUAAAAACAUUAUAUUUUCAAUAUAAAAUUAAUUAAAAAUAAUUUAUAAAGA
Molecule: transfer RNA, 66 nt
Filed under: Philanthus triangulum (European beewolf)
Lineage: Eukaryota; Metazoa; Arthropoda; Insecta; Hymenoptera; Crabronidae
Description: tRNA-Glu
Source: RNAcentral